AUUGAACGCUGGCGGCAUGCUUUACACAUGCAAGUCGAGCGAAGUUUUUCUGGUGCUUGCACCGGAAAAACUUAGCGGCGAACGGGUGAGUAACACGUAAAGAACCUGCCUCAUAGACUGGGACAACUAUUGGAAACGAUAGCUAAUACCGGAUAACAGCAUUAACUGCAUGGUUGAUGUUUAAAAGUUGGUUUUGCUAACACUAUGAGAUGGCUUUGCGGUGCAUUAGCUAGUUGGUGGGGUAAAGGCCUACCAAGGCGACGAUGCAUAGCCGACCUGAGAGGGUGAUCGGCCACACUGCGACUGAGACACGGCCCAGACUCCUACGGGAGGCAGCAGUAGGGAAUCUUCCGCAAUGGGCGAAAGCCUGACGGAGCAACGCCGCGUGAGUGAAGAAGGAUUUCGGUUCGUAAAGCUCUGUUGUUAGGGAAGAAUGAUUGUGUAGUAACUAUACACAGUAGAGACGGUACCUAACCAGAAAGCCACGGCUAACUACGUG
RNAcentral lists this ribosomal RNA (499 nucleotides) under uncultured bacterium. RNAcentral's name for it is "partial 16S ribosomal RNA". It matches the Rfam family "Bacterial small subunit ribosomal RNA", at positions 30 to 507 of the family's 1533-position model. The record is from RNAcentral.